UCCGCCAUAGCUCAGUUGGUAGUAGCGCAUGACUGUUAAUCAUGAUGUCGUAGGUUCGAUUCCUACUGGCGGAG
Molecule: transfer RNA, 74 nt
Filed under: Streptococcus pneumoniae
Lineage: Bacteria; Bacillati; Bacillota; Bacilli; Lactobacillales; Streptococcaceae
Also listed under: 1 other name
Description: tRNA-Asn(gtt)
Rfam family: tRNA
About the family: Transfer RNA (tRNA) molecules are approximately 80 nucleotides in length. Their secondary structure includes four short double-helical elements and three loops (D, anti-codon, and T loops). Further hydrogen bonds mediate the characteristic L-shaped molecular structure. tRNAs have two regions of fundamental functional importance: the anti-codon, which is responsible for specific mRNA codon recognition, and the 3' end, to which the tRNAs corresponding amino acid is attached (by aminoacyl-tRNA synthetases). tRNAs cope with the degeneracy of the genetic code in two manners: having more than one tRNA (with a specific anti-codon) for a particular amino acid; and 'wobble' base-pairing, i.e. permitting non-standard base-pairing at the 3rd anti-codon position.
Source: RNAcentral